Molecule: ribosomal RNA, 950 nt
Filed under: uncultured archaeon
Lineage: Archaea
Description: bacterial SSU rRNA
Rfam family: Archaeal small subunit ribosomal RNA
Source: RNAcentral
UUCCGGUUGAUCCUGCCGGACCCGACUGCUAUUUGGGUGAGAAUAAGCCAUGCGAGUUGAAUGGGAUACCUAAAGUUCCCAUAGCAAACUGCUCAGUAACACAUGAUCAACUUACCCUAUAGAGAAAAAUAACCUCGGGAAACUGAGGAUAAUGUUUCACAAUUGAAUUGGCUUGGAAAAGUUUUUCAAUGAAAAGGAUAAAAAAAAUGGUUUUUAUCUGCUAUAGGAUAGGAUCGUGUUCGAUUAUGGUUGUUGGUGAGAUAAUGGCUCACCAAGCCGAUAAUCGAUAGGGGCCGUGAGAGCGGGAGCCCCGAGAUGGGUACUGAGACAACGACCCAGGCCUUACGAGGCGCAGCAGGCGCGGAACCUCCGCAAUACACGAAAGUGUGACGGGGUUACCCAAAGUGUUCAAUAGAACUGUGGUAGGUGAGUAAUGUCCCCUACUAGAAAGGAGAGGGCAAGGCUGGUGCCAGCCGCCGCGGUAAAACCAGCUCUUCAAGUGGUCGGGAUAAUUAUUGGGCUUAAAGUGUCCGUAGCCGGUUUAGUAAGUUCCUGGUAAAAUCGGGUAGCUUAACUAUCUGCAUGCUAGGAAUACUGCUAUACUAGAGGGCGGGAGAGGUCUGAGGUACUACAGGGGUAGGGGUGAAAUCUUAUAAUCCUUGUAGGACCACCAGUGGCGAAGGCGUCAGACUGGAACGCGCCUGACGGUGAGGGACGAAAGCCAGGGGAGCGAACCGGAUUAGAUACCCGGGUAGUCCUGGCCGUAAACGAUGCAUACUGGGUGAUGGUACGGCCAUGAGCCGUAUCAGUGCCGUAGGGAAACCGUUAAGUGUGCCGCCUGGGAAGUACGGUCGCAAGGCUAAAACUUAAAGGAAUUGGCGGGGGAGCACCACAAGGGGUGAAGCCUGCGGUUCAAUUGGAUUCAACGCCGGAAAUCACUAGUGCGGCCG